This 464-nucleotide ribosomal RNA is filed under the name uncultured bacterium. Its description in RNAcentral is "partial 16S ribosomal RNA". It matches the Rfam family "Bacterial small subunit ribosomal RNA", at positions 28 to 507 of the family's 1533-position model. The record is from RNAcentral.
GACGAACGCUGGCGGCGUGCUUAACACAUGCAAGUCGAACGGAAAGGCCCAGCUUGCUGGGUGCUCGAGUGGCGAACGGGUGAGUAACACGUGGGUGAUCUGCCCCUAACUUCGGGAUAAGCUUGGGAAACUGGGUCUAAUACCGGAUAGGACAAUCGUUUAGUGUCGGUUGUGGAAAGUUUUUUCGGUUAGGGAUGAGCUCGCGGCCUAUCAGCUUGUUGGUGGGGUAAUGGCCUACCAAGGCGUCGACGGGUAGCCGGCCUGAGAGGGUGGACGGCCACAUUGGGACUGAGAUACGGCCCAGACUCCUACGGGAGGCAGCAGUGGGGAAUAUUGCACAAUGGGCGCAAGCCUGAUGCAGCGACGCCGCGUGGGGGACGACGGCCUUCGGGUUGUAAACCUCUUUCGACAGGGACGAAGCGUUGGUGACGGUACCUGUAUAAGAAGCACCGGCUAACUACGUG